CAGUCGCCACGGUAAAACGUAGGGGGCAAGCGUUAUCCGGAAUUACUUGGUGCAAAGGGAGCGUAGACGGUUAAACAAGUCUGAAGUGAAAUGCCGGGGCUCAACCCCGGAGCUGCUUUGGGAACUGUAGAACUGGAGUGUCGGAGGGGUAAGCGGAAUUCCCAGUGUAGCGGUGAAAUGCGUAGAUAUUGGGAGGAACACCGGCGGCGAAGGCGGCUUACUGGACGACAACUGACGUUGAGGCUCGAAGGCGUGGGUAGCAAACAGGAUUAGAUACCCCAGUAGUCCCUGUCUCUUAUAC
This 301-nucleotide ribosomal RNA is filed under the name uncultured bacterium. RNAcentral's name for it is "partial 16S ribosomal RNA". It matches the Rfam family "Bacterial small subunit ribosomal RNA", at positions 509 to 807 of the family's 1533-position model. The record is from RNAcentral.